This 253-nucleotide ribosomal RNA is filed under the name uncultured bacterium. RNAcentral describes it as "partial 16S ribosomal RNA". It matches the Rfam family "Bacterial small subunit ribosomal RNA", at positions 524 to 776 of the family's 1533-position model. The record is from RNAcentral.
UACGGAGGGUGCGAGCGUUGUCCGGAAUCACUGGGCGUAAAGGGCGCGUAGGUGGCGCGACAAGUCAACGGUGAAAGCCCGGGGCUCAACCCCGGGUCGGCCGUCGAUACUGUUGGGCUUGAGCACUGUAGAGGCAGGUGGAAUUCCGGGUGUAGCGGUGGAAUGCGUAGAGAUCCGGAAGAACACCGGUGGCGAAGGCGGCCUGCUGGGCAGUAGCUGACGCUGAGACGCGAAAGCGUGGGGAGCAAACAGG